RNAcentral lists this ribosomal RNA (465 nucleotides) under uncultured bacterium. Its description in RNAcentral is "partial 16S ribosomal RNA". It matches the Rfam family "Bacterial small subunit ribosomal RNA", at positions 28 to 507 of the family's 1533-position model. The record is from RNAcentral.
GACGAACGCUGGCGGCGUGCUUAACACAUGCAAGUCGAACGGAAAGGCCCCUUUGGGGGUACUCGAGUGGCGCACGGGUGAGUAACACGUGAGUAACCUUCCCUUGACUUCGGGAUAACUUCAGGAAACUGGGGCUAAUACCGGAUAGGAAUCCUUGCUGCAUGGUGGGGGUUGGAAAGCUUCGGCGGUUUUGGAUGGACUCGCGGCUUAUCAGCUUGUUGGUGGGGUAGUGGCUUACCAAGGCUUUGACGGGUAGCCGGCCUGAGAGGGCGACCGGCCACAUUGGGACUGAGAGACGGCCCAGACUCCUACGGGAGGCAGCAGUGGGGAAUAUUGCACAAUGGGCGGAAGCCUGGUGCAGCAACGCCGCGUGCGGGAUGACGGCCUUCGGGUUGGAAACCGCGUUCAGCAGGGGCGAAGCUUGUGGUGACGGUACCUGCAGAAGAAGCACCGGCUAACUACGUG